UGGAGGUGUUUUUGCUCCUGGACUCACAGCACCCUCUAUUGUACCUCUAGACCACUGGUGAAGAAGGUGUGGCUUUUGCCAGAUGCCAAAAUA
This is a long non-coding RNA of Thalassophryne amazonica, 93 nucleotides long. RefSeq lists it as uncharacterized. The transcript is spliced from 3 exons. Lineage: Eukaryota; Metazoa; Chordata; Actinopteri; Batrachoidiformes; Batrachoididae. The record is from RefSeq and is a predicted model, not a curated record.